Molecule: long non-coding RNA, 2537 nt
Organism: Anolis carolinensis (green anole)
Lineage: Eukaryota; Metazoa; Chordata; Lepidosauria; Squamata; Anolidae
Exons: 2
Source: RefSeq, a predicted model, not a curated record
AAUGCAAAACAUUAUUAUCAUUAUCAUUAUUAUUAUUAUUACUGUCGAAGGCUUUCACUGCCUUGCUGUGAGUUUAUGGCCAUGCCCCAGAAGCAUUCUCUCCUGACGUUUCGCCUGCAUCUAUGGCAGGCAUCCUCAGAGGUUGUGAGGUGUGUAUAUUAUUAUUAUUAUUAUUAGUAGUAGUAUGUUAUUAUUGUUAAUAAUAAUAUUAGUAUAUUAUUAUUGUUAUUAUUACUAUUGUCGAAGGCUUUCACUGCCUUGCUGUGAGUUUAUGGCCAUGCCCCAGAAGCAUUCUCUCCUGACGUUUCGCCUGCAUCUAUGGCAGGCAUCCUCAGAGGUUGUGUGUAUAUUAUUAUUAUUAUUAUUAUUAUUUGUAGUAUAUUAUUAUUAUUAUUAGUAGUAGUAGUAGUAGUAGUAGUAUGUUGUUAUUAUUAUUAUUAUUGUCGAAGGCUUUCACUGCCUUGCUGUGAGUUUAUGGCCAUGCCCCAGAAGCAUUCUCUCCUGACGUUUCGCCUGCAUCUAUGGCAGGCAUCCUCAGAGGUUGUGAGGUGUGUAUAUUAUUAUUAUUAUUAUUAGUAGUAGUAUGUUAUUAUUGUUAAUAAUAAUAUUAGUAUAUUAUUAUUGUUAUUAUUACUAUUGUCGAAGGCUUUCACUGCCUUGCUGUGAGUUUAUGGCCAUGCCCCAGAAGCAUUCUCUCCUGACGUUUCGCCUGCAUCUAUGGCAGGCAUCCUCAGAGGUUGUGUGUAUAUUAUUAUUAUUAUUAUUAUUAUUUGUAGUAUAUUAUUAUUAUUAUUAGUAGUAGUAGUAGUAGUAGUAGUAUGUUGUUAUUAUUAUUAUUACUGUCGAAGGCUUUCACUGCCUUGCUGUGAGUUUAUGGCCAUGCCCCAGAAGCAUUCUCUCCUGACGUUUCGCCUGCAUCUAUGGCAGGCAUCCUCAGAGGUUGUGAGGUGUGUAUAUUAUUAUUAUUAUUAUUAGUAGUAGUAUGUUAUUAUUGUUAAUAAUAAUAUUAGUAUAUUAUUAUUGUUAUUAUUACUAUUGUCGAAGGCUUUCACUGCCUUGCUGUGAGUUUAUGGCCAUGCCCCAGAAGCAUUCUCUCCUGACGUUUCGCCUGCAUCUAUGGCAGGCAUCCUCAGAGGUUGUGUGUAUAUUAUUAUUAUUAUUAUUAUUAUUUGUAGUAUAUUAUUAUUAUUAUUAUUAGUAGUAGUAGUAGUAGUAGUAUGUUGUUAUUAUUAUUAUUAUUGUCGAAGGCUUUCACUGCCUUGCUGUGAGUUUAUGGCCAUGCCCCAGAAGCAUUCUCUCCUGACGUUUCGCCUGCAUCUAUGGCAGGCAUCCUCAGAGGUUGUGUGUAUAUUAUUAUUAUUAUUAUUCGUAGUAUAUUAUUAUUAGUAGUAGUAGUAGUAUGUUGUUAUUAUUAUUAUUAUUAUUAUUGUCGAAGGCUUUCACUGCCUUGCUGUGAGUUCAUGGCCAUGCCCCAGAAGCAUUCUCUCCUGAUGUUUCGCCUGCAUCUAUGACAGGCAUCCUCACAGGUUGUGAGGUGUGUAUAUUAUUAUUAUUAUUAUUAGUUCUAGUAUUAGAUUAUUAUUAGUAAUAGUAUGUUGUUGUUGUUAUUAUUGUCGAAGGCUUUCACUGCCUUGCUGUGAGUUUCUGGCCAUGCCACAGAAGCAUUCUCUCCUGACGCUUCGCCUGCAUCUAUGGCAGGCAUCCUCAGAGGUUGUGAGCGGCCAGAAUAACCUUAGCAAAACAAUGGAAAACUGAACUGAUCCCAGAGACUGAGCAGUGGCUGGAGAAACUAGACGAAAUAAAGAAUAUGGAUAAACUUACUUGGUAUUUGAAAGAAAUCAGAGGUAAACCGACAAAGAAGACAAACUGGGAAAAAAUGGACAUGUACUUUCAACAAAGGGACAAGAAGAAACGAACCGGGACAAUGUUAGAAAGUUAAUUGAAAAAAUUACAGUACCGAGUUAAGGGAAAGAACGGAAGUUUUUUUUUGGAAAUAAUCCCCCUUCCCUCCUUUCCUGUGUUUUCCUUACGUUCCUAUUUGUGCAUCACUCCCUUUUUGUACUUACAGUAGAGUCCCGCUUAUCCAACGUAAACGGGCCGACAGAACGUUGGAUAAGCGAAUAUGUUGGAUAAUAAGGAGAGAUUAAGGAAAAGCCUAUUAAACAUUAAAUUAGUUUAUGAUUUUACAAAUUAAGCACCAAAACAUUAUGUUAUACAACAAAUUUGACAGAAAAAGUCGUUCAAUAUGCAGUAAUACUAUGUAGUAAUUACUGUAUUUACGAAUUUAGCACCUAAAUAUCAGGAUUUAUUGAAAACAUUGACUACAAAAAUGCGUUGGAUAAUCCAGAACGUUGGAUAAGCGAGUGUUGGAUAAGUGAGACUCUACUGUAUUUCUCUCCCCUUCCCUUUUCCUCCCCCCCCCCCCCCCCAUGGUUUUUCCUCACAGGUAUUCCUCGUUUUUAAAUUGUUUUGUAUAUCACACUGUUUGUUUUUCACUUAUCCUUUCAAUAAAUAAAUAAAUAAAUAAAUAAAUAAAU